GCCGGGUGUGGUGGCGCACACCUGUAGUCCCAGCUACUCGGGAGGCUGAGGCAGGAGAAUUGCUUGAACCCAGGAGGCAGAGGUUGCAGUGAGCCAAGAUUGCACCACUGCACUCCAGCCUGGGUGACACAGCAAGACUCCAUCUUAA
RNAcentral lists this small RNA (148 nucleotides) under Pongo abelii (Sumatran orangutan). RNAcentral describes it as "Metazoan signal recognition particle RNA (ENSPPYG00000037681.1)". The record is from Rfam by way of RNAcentral. Lineage: Eukaryota; Metazoa; Chordata; Mammalia; Primates; Hominidae.